CAGUCGCCGCGGGAAUACGGAGGGUGCAAGCGUUAAUCGGAAUUACUGGGCGUAAAGCGUGCGCAGGCGGUUUGUUAAGACAGAUGUGAAAUCCCCGGGCUCAACCUGGGAACUGCAUUUGUGACUGGCAAGCUAGAGUAUGGCAGAGGGGGGUGGAAUUCCGCGUGUAGCAGUGAGAUGCGUAGAUAUGCGGAGGAACACCGAUGGCGAAGGCAGCCCCCUGGGCCAAUACUGACGCUCAUGCACGAAAGCGUGGGGAGCAAACAGGAUUAGAUACCCCCGUAGUCCCUGUCUCUUAUAC
Molecule: ribosomal RNA, 301 nt
Filed under: uncultured bacterium
Lineage: Bacteria
Description: partial 16S ribosomal RNA
Rfam family: Bacterial small subunit ribosomal RNA
Source: RNAcentral